This 254-nucleotide ribosomal RNA is filed under the name uncultured bacterium. Its description in RNAcentral is "partial 16S ribosomal RNA". It matches the Rfam family "Bacterial small subunit ribosomal RNA", at positions 524 to 776 of the family's 1533-position model. The record is from RNAcentral.
UACGUAGGGGGCUAGCGUUGUCCGGAAUCAUUGGGCGUAAAGCGCGUGUAGGCGGUCCGGUAAGUCCGCUGUGAAAGUCGAGGGCUCAACCCUCGAAUGCCGGUGGAUACUGUCGGGCUUGAGGUUGGGAGAGGGAUGCGGAAUUCCAGGUGUAGCGGUGAAAUGCGUAGAUAUCUGGAGGAACACCGGUGGCGAAGGCGGCAUCCUGGACCAAUUCUGACGCUGAGUGAGCGAAAGCCAGGGGAGCAAACGGG